Long non-coding RNA from Oxyura jamaicensis (ruddy duck), 184 nucleotides. RefSeq lists it as uncharacterized. The record is from RefSeq and is a predicted model, not a curated record. The transcript is spliced from 3 exons. NCBI's taxonomy places the organism in Eukaryota, Metazoa, Chordata, Aves, Anseriformes, Anatidae.
CAGGAGGGGAAGGCGCGUCCAGGUCCUCAGCCAGCCGGGGUGUUAACAAGCAAGAGCACCUCUCUCCUUCAAUUCUUGCUAACAUCUUUGCAGCUUCUCCAGGUCCCGUAGAAGAUGUCCUCAGUAGCAAAAUUGGCCCUAGCCUGGACUUAAGACAUUACAUGGGGUCUGUGGUAUUUGUGCA